UAUCAAAAUGUUUAUGCAUACUGUUUGUUUUUAGACAUUUGAGGGUUUUUUUAAAUUUAAUUUAAUUUUAAUUAAUUUUUUUUAAAUUUCCAUAAUUUAUAUCUAUGUUAGCCUAGAUAACUGAAAAUGUUAAGAAAAAAAAAGUAAAAAGAAAAUCGGGAAAUCAGAAUACAGAUUGAAUUCCAAUCCGACAGUGUACUUUCCCAACUUUCACAAAAGGCGGGAAAAUUGUUGCUUUGUUUAAUGUUUACUAAACAAUAUAUGCAAAAGUAAAAAAAGUCUAAAAUGGUUGUAAACUCUUCAUUAGAAGUCUUGAGUCUUCUUUGUGUGCACCCUUGCUAGUUUUCUGGAUCGACGAUUGGUCUUUGUUGGACAGCAGCUGUGGUUCGAGCCAAACUUUUCUGAGAAGGCUAGGGCAGGAUGGACUAUGUGUUCAUAGUGUGCCUAGAAUUCAAAGUGGUUCAACAAAAUAUUUGGCAAGGGUUAUUUAGCCUGGUAUGGCCUAAUACAUUUUUGUGGCGAAGGGGGGAGGGAAAGAGAAGUUUAUCGGUUAAAAAAGGACUUUGUCGUGUCCUGCUGCAUUAUUUAUUUCUGUCGAUGUUUGAAUCCUUCUUACCAUGGGAGGACAGACUGGAGGGCUUGUAAGUUAAAAAAGGAUUUUGUCGUGUCCUCUUGCAUUAUUUAUUCCCGUCGAUGUUCGAAUCCCAGGUGAUGUAUUUGGUAAAAAAGAGACUGCAAAGAAUACAAGCCCGCUGACAGGGGAGGCAACUUCACCCAAAGGGUGAUCACUUUUUAAAAAAUCUCUUACAUCACCGAGAGAGGAUUAUUAUCAACCCCUCUAUCCAGAUCAGAGAAAUAGCCGGUAACCAGAGACGCCCAACUUAUUAUUUUUUUUAUCUGGUGUGAUUUACGACUCUGCAGUAAAAAGAAAACCCAGCGGCAAGAAAGAAUGAUGUCCCGGUGAUAGGUCAAAGGUGAGCAGUCUGUCAUGAAGGGGAUGGGUUCAAGAUAUCUUCCAACACAGACCACAAAGCAAUGCAGUGUAGGACAGGGCUAGGACUCGGAUACUUCUCCUUUCUUCAUACUGGCAUACUCUGAUAAUUCUGAUGUCUACACAGGAAAUUUAACUUCGAGAUAAAAAUGGGGUACAUUGGCGGGUGGUGAGGAGACUUCGGGUGGACAAAGUGCAGCACUUGAUCAUAAAACCCGCAUACAGCAACCUGCAGCAGGUCGCCGCCCUUGGCACGCUGCUCUCUCACAAAAGCUCCAUGUGGCAGCAAAGUUUCAUGGAGUUGCGGGUCCAUGAGCCAGUGAGAAAUAUUGCGAUGAGGUUGAUUAGCCGAGGGCUCGAUGGCAAGAAGCUGGAGGUCCUUACCUGUUUUUGGGUUGUUCAGCCUUUCGGAGUCAUAACUGUCUCACAAAACCAGCGGCGACUGUACGUGAGAAGGUGACAUAGCCACAAGUCACAAUCCCUUAUGAAGAGUUAUAGGAGCAAUUAAAGCGACAUCGCUAUUACUGUUGCCUGAUUAAUGGUCGUCUGCAGACAGAUGAGAGCGUGGCACGGAUACCAGUGCCAAGGUGUUGCUUGCAGAACUGGAUGUAUUUCCACUUUGGAGAGGUUUGUGCAAAUUAAUGACAAAAGAUUAAAAAAAAUUGAAACAAUAACAUAGUCUAUCUUUUGUGUGUGUGAGAGAGAGAGUGGGGAUAAAAAAAAAAGAAAGAUAACCCUCUUUUCAAAGUAUAAAGGACUGAUUCAACAAGUAAUGAGGACAAACGUAAAGGUGUAUUACACCAGUAAAUAAUUGUUAAACUCGAAAACACCUCACACAUGUUUCCACAAAAAAAUCCAGGUGACACCCCUUUCGAUUGUUGUACCUAGUCUCACACAAUAAUACAACGUGCCAAUCAUUUCCUUCCUUAGUCGCAGCAUUAUUCAUGAACUCUUGCACGGAGGACAUGCUUUUUUUUUUUGUGCACGAGACUGCGCCUUGCUCCGUCGUGUCAUCCUCCCUUCAGGCCUCUUGCGAGAGAGUCACGUGCUCAAGGGACCUGCGCGCGCAGACAGCCGUUUGCACGAGAGGUGCAGCCGAGCUCCGACACGCGAUCAAUGUUUUCAAUUACCUGGAGGUCACCUGGCAAGGUGAUGGGUAAUCAGAACUCGUUUGACAUUGGCCCCUGCAACGCCGCGCAAGGGAUACCUGUGAAGGGACAGCCUGCCAGCUUCUCUGUACCUGCUGGCUCUGAUUUAUCCCCUCUUGCUGGUUACACCCCUGCAACACCAUGUCACCUUGCCACUAAUCACUAGCACCCUCCCUCCCAUCGCCCUCCCACCUGUUUCCACCCCGUUCCCACCCAACUCCUCGCACACAUACUUUCUGACAUGCAUUAUCCUUUCACACUCUGUAGCCUCCAUGCCAGUCUUCAUGGCCAGCGAUACGUUUUCUUCGCUCCCUUACUGCGUCAGUUCACAAAGUCGAUGUCGUAAGGGCAUCGCUGGCGAGGUUUCAUAAAAAUGCGCAUCAUGCCAGUGCAAACCUCGACUGUGACACGAGAUAAAUCGAGAAAUGCGCGAUAUAAGCUAUAGUCAAUAUGCGUCAUAGGGGACAAGCAGGAGCAUCGGUACUUUUACGGAUUACAGGCCAAUAGCAAACUCUUUCCCUUUGCUGAUUAAAGGCCACCCAUGGACCUUGUUUUCUACGGAAAUCGAAAGAAGCAUAAGCCUCUGUGAUGAUCAACGUUGAUUUUUGGUUGCUUUGACAGGAAAGUGCUUCCACCUUGAGAUGAUUUUGCGCUAUGACGAAAAGGGAGGAAACCAGAGUACCUGGAGAAAACCCCACAGGUGUCACAUGGAGAGUUUCUGGAGAUGAGAUUUGAACCCAGGGCCUCUGUUUGCAGUGGUGACAAGUUAGUGUUUUAGCCACUACACUACCGGGCGUCCACGUCUCUCCUUAUAAGGAUUAGAGGCACUCGCAUAGCUUUAGUUUACUUUUUAACAAUAUGGGGGCCAACGUAUGCGGAUUUUUUCAUAAAUCCUAAGCCCGAACCCUGUUUAUAAUUUAAAACUCCAUUUGUAUCACCAUUCCAUAAGUUAAGUCAUCAAGAAAGGUAACUCAUGCCUUACAUGCACUAUACCACCAUAGACAAAUACUUGGAGGACCCGAACAAGAGCAUCCAUUCAUCCGCAAAGAUGUUAAUCAUAACCAAUAAUGAAUACGGUUAAUCAGCAUCAGUGUGGUGGUGAGUUUACUAAGCUUGCUAAUACCAUGCUCCACAAUCCAUCUAAAACCCGUUGUGAUUACAUAACAACUGUUCUAUUCUAUUCUAAAUAUUCACAGACCUUCAGGCCAAACUUUAAUUGCUUUGUGUCCUGGUCGCUACUGUUCAACGACUAUUUAUAUAACUACUAAAAUUUUACUUUAAUACAAUCUUAUCUGGUAAAACAUUGUUUCUGUUAGUAAUGAAAUGAAUGGUUUGCGCCCUCAACACACGUCAGUCAAUAAAUCCGUCUACAUCUGUAUUUCUAUAUUAUCUUGUCAAAACCAAUCUAACGAAACUGAUGAUAUACAUCUGACCACACAAACUGGUUUUGAGGGUCCCUAACUUUUUCUGCCAGAUGUACUAAAGAUCUUGAGAUAGGAUGUCUGUGUAGGGAAUGAUGAUGGAUCAAUCUUGAGGAAAGCAUAGUUUUUUUGUUUUUUUUUUGGUUGAAAAUUUCAGUGAAAUAUUUUGCAUGCAUUUAGCAGGGUAUUAUUCCUCUAAAACUGUUAUUACUCCCUUAGCGUUGAGAUGUUCAUUAAGAUGUGUGGCUGCUAGAGGCGUGUCUGCACAUCGGACCUCAAUGGCUUGCUGGUGCAUAAAGACUCAUUGUCACUUGGUAAUAAAGGAAGUGUUGCUGCGAACAUGUUUCAGUUACUGGUGAAAUUAUGAUCGAUUACAUCCUCCGUGAAUCAAGAUUUUUUCCCGCCCUUAAACACCCCGUAUCCAAACUGAUGCCCUUCAAUCGCGUGCACCGGCGCGUGACAAACUCCCAAAAAAGACACGAAAGGCACGUGCGCCGCUGCACGCUAGCAUGCACACACAUACACGAACAAAGUUCACAGACGCACCGUGCACACGCCACAGUGACAAAGCCGCCAUUCAGUCUUGAGUCAUAUAACGGAAGCAUUGGGAUGCUAGACCUCCAGACCAGAAGCAAUUGUUUCUUUGUUGUUGUUUUCUCAUUUUGUGUCUGGGGAGUGGGGGAGAAACGGUUUUCAAAUAUCUAGGUGGCGUGUGAAGAAUUCUCCCCCUUCCCUUAUGAUCAGCGAGAUUUUAAAACUUACAAAUAUUUUCUUUUAUUUAUUUAUUGAAGUCCUUGCGUGAUAUUUUAGGAACUUGCGAUAAAUUCUAAUAUUU
This 4395-nucleotide long non-coding RNA is filed under the name Pomacea canaliculata. Its description in RNAcentral is "uncharacterized LOC112557798". The record is from RNAcentral. Lineage: Eukaryota; Metazoa; Mollusca; Gastropoda; Architaenioglossa; Ampullariidae.